Molecule: unclassified non-coding RNA, 1249 nt
Filed under: Hevea brasiliensis (rubber tree)
Lineage: Eukaryota; Viridiplantae; Streptophyta; Magnoliopsida; Malpighiales; Euphorbiaceae
Source: RNAcentral
UCGCUUCAGCAACCUGUUCUUCGUAUAAUUUCACUUGGUCUUCAAGAAUCUUCAAUUUGUCAAUCAGGAAUUUUGCCUCAGACUCCUUGUUGGUGAAGUUUGCUAUUGCUUCUUGAAGUUUGAGUUCCGAAUCCCUUGCCAGAGAUUCUUGUAAUGAUUCAAGCUCAGACUUUCUAGCGGUAGCCUGCUCUAGUAAUUUUUCUUGUUGCUCUAGUUGUUCCUCAGCAGACAUGAGCUUUGCCAUUACAUCGCUUUCUUUUAGUCCAGCAGCCUUUAGAUCAUUUUCAAUGCNNNCAACUUCUCCUGCAUCACAGUUAAUUCAUUUCGUAGGACUUCCACAAGAUUCUCAGCUUCAGCCAGCUUCUGGCUGGAAUUGCUUGAUGCAUCUUCUAACUUUUUCUUUUCAUCUGUUACUGAAUUCAGGCAUUCCAUCAGCUCUUUCUCCUUUUCGUUGGCUGUUUGCAGUGCAAUUUCAAGGCUUGAUGCCCUUGCUUGGAAUGCUUCAAGCUCAGCUGAAAGUUCAGAUACUUUAUGGAAGUAUUUGUUGGACUCUGCUUCUGCAGCCACACAUUUCUUUUCUAAUGUGCUAAUCUGCUCUUCAAGUUCCUGAAUUCUGAAUUUCUCUGCUUCAAGUAACAACUCCAAAUCAUUUACCUUUUUGCUGGCAUCCUCUACUUUGGAAUGAGACAUUUGGAACAGGUCUUCAAGCUCAAGGCUGCGUUGAUGAUUCAUGUUUGCUCGGUCCUCAUGUUCAGCACACUUCUCUGUAGCAAUCCUCAACUCAGCCUCAAGCUCUGCAUUCCUUGAUGAUGACUGAUUUAGGGAAGCUUCAAGGUGGGUUAUCUUCUCCUGGUAUUCCUGCAUCUGGUGACUCAAAAUUUUCUUUUCUUCCUCCAAUUCUUUCAGUGCAGCACUGAGUUCAGUUAUUUUCAGUGAGAAUUCCCUCACUUCUCUCUCAGCAUCACUGCUUUUUAAUUCCGUUAAAUUCAAUUGUUGCUCAAGAUCCACGUUACUCUGCUCUGCUGCAAUAAAGCGUGUCUCAAGCUCUCUCAGUUGGGAAUUUGCAUUUUCUGCUGCUUCAUGUGAAGCUCGGAGUGAAUCUUCAAGCUCCAGAUUCUUUAGAGUAGCAGAUGCUGCAGCAGCUCCAGAUUCAUUGUGAAGCUCUUCCAGAGACUUCAAUUUUUNNNNUGCAUUGUUUGACAAAGCUUGACAAAAGGAAAUCCGCUUUAGAGAAAUUCUCUUCUGAAAC